Molecule: ribosomal RNA, 468 nt
Filed under: uncultured bacterium
Lineage: Bacteria
Description: partial 16S ribosomal RNA
Rfam family: Bacterial small subunit ribosomal RNA
Source: RNAcentral
GACGAACGCUGGCGGCGUGCUUAACACAUGCAAGUCGAACGGAAAGGCCCUGCUUUUUUGGGGUGCUCGAUUGGCGAACGGGUGAGUAACACGUGAGUAACCGGCCCUUGACUUUGGGAUAACUUCAGGAAACUGGGGCUAAUACCGGAUAGGAGCUCCUGCUCCAUGGUGGGGGUUGGAAAGUUUCGGCGGUUGGGGAUGGACUCGCGGCUUAUCAGCUUGUUGGUGGGGUAGUGGCUUACCAAGGCUUUGACGGGUAGCCGGCCUGAGAGGGUGACCGGCCACAUUGGGACUGAGAUACGGACCAGACUCCUACGGGAGGCAGCAGUGGGGAAUAUUGCACAAUGGGCGGAAGCCUGAUGCAGAAACGCCGCGUGCGGGAUGACGGUCUUUGGGUUGUAAAACGCUUUAGCCUGUGACGAAGCGGGAGUGACGGUAAUGGGUAAAGAAGCACCGGCUAACUACGUG